UCAGGUGAUUUGACCACCUCGGCCUCCCAAAGUGCUGGGAUUAUAGGCAUGAGCCACCGCACCUGGCUAAAAGUCAGUUUUUAAUAAGAACAAACCCAGUCUAUACUUGUCUAUAUCAAAUAGUCUAAAAAUUUGGAUCAUUUUGUGACAAACAUAAGCAAGUCUCAAGGUUACAAGAAAACAGUCCUUGAAACUAUUAACACAAGGCUAGCCCUUACACUUCUUAACAAAAAGAUGUAGCCAGAAGCUUAUUUUAUGAUGAUAAGGUACAGAAUAACUGUAGAUUUAACAGAUUUGUUACUAAACUGUUUCUUAUCUAUCUAAACAAUAUCUAAUGUCUAGCUCAAGGUUGUUCUUUUAAAAGUAUCUGUUUUAACAGAUUCUUAUUCUAUCAAGGUUUUUCAUCAAAUGCCUCCACUUCAGCUAAAUUUUCUAGCCAAGUCUGUCUGCAAGGAAAUGAGGCUUAAUUCCACCCAAAACACCAGAGAGAACUGAUAAUCCUAAACUUCCAGAGGGCGGAAAAAAACUUCCUCUACUGCAACAGACACUGCAGGCUGUGACGUUUGGAGCUGGCACAGUCAUCUUAUCUCCUUGAAGUGUGACAUCAUCAACAUGCUGAGGAUGGAGGAGCAGAGAGCGGAAAGGAGCCUGGGCCCUGGUGGUUAAUUAGCAGAUCCCAGUGGCAGAACCUAAGACACCGGAGGAGAAGUUCUUCCUCUUCUACAGUUCCUUGCUGCCCAAGCCAUCUUAUUUGAUAGGCAUACAAAGAAUCAGAAAGAAGAAUACCAUAAGACAUCUCAACAGCAAUAUGGACAGUUAGAAGAUAGCAAAAAGAUAUCUUCAAAGCUCAAAGAGACUACCAAUCACCAGCAGUGGAUACAAGGUUACUUCCGUAUUUCCUGAUUUAAAACACUUCCCUUCUCUUGACGGUUGUUUGGAUGCUGCCGGUCACUGGGAAGCCAUUGCUGUCAUGGAAAUCCCUGCACACGACACACGGGUUUCCUUCGGUUUGGCGAGACAUUCCCAGAUGACCGCAGAGCUUGUCUGCCAUCACAUCUCCGUGAUUUCCAGGUCUGUCAGCGUAAUGUCAUCAAUGUAACGGAUGAAUGUUUAUGUCUUCUGGAAGGGGAAGGCAAUCAAAAUCUCUGUGAACUGAUGGUGACAUAAAACUGGAGAGCUGACACACUCCUAUCAGUGCAGGUGUAUUGCUUGCCUUGCCAGCUAAAGGAAACUACUUCUGGAAGUCUUCACUAACAUAGAUGGAGAAAAAAGCACUUGCUGGACCAGUAGCUGCACACCAGGUACCAGGGUUUGUGCUAAUUUCCUCAAGCAAUGAAACGACAUCUGCUACAGUUGAAGUCACCACGUGAUUAAGUUCACAAUAAUCCAUCCACUGUCAUUCUCCAAGAGCCUUCUGUCUUCUGCACAGUCCAAAUAGGUGAGCUGAAUAGGUUUAUGGGGCAUCCUUAAGUCCUUGAUGGUGACACUAAUCUCUGCAAGCUUUCCAGAAAUGUGGUGUUGCUUUUGGUUUACUAUUUUCCUAGUCAAAGUAGUUCUAGUGGCUUCCACUUGGCCGUUCCCAUCAUAAUAGCCCUCACUCCAUUCUACUGGUCAGGGAACAAAUGUGGGGAUCCAACCAGCUGCUGAGUACAUCCAUUCCAAUCGUGCAUCCUCAAACUAGGAAAUCACAACGGGGUGAAUUCAGGGACCCACUGGGCAUGGGCACUGAAUGAUUAUCAGGAGAUUUUCUUUUAAGGGACAAAAAUUUUGUUUUUGUUUUUGUUUUUUGAGACAGGGUCUCAUUCUGUUG
This is a long non-coding RNA of Cercocebus atys (sooty mangabey), 1810 nucleotides long. RefSeq lists it as uncharacterized. The transcript has 5 exons. The record is from RefSeq and is a predicted model, not a curated record. NCBI's taxonomy places the organism in Eukaryota, Metazoa, Chordata, Mammalia, Primates, Cercopithecidae.